This 501-nucleotide ribosomal RNA is filed under the name uncultured bacterium. Its description in RNAcentral is "partial 16S ribosomal RNA". It matches the Rfam family "Bacterial small subunit ribosomal RNA", at positions 30 to 523 of the family's 1533-position model. The record is from RNAcentral.
AUUGAACGCUGGCGGCAGGCUUAACACAUGCAAGUCGAGCGGAGAUGAGGUGCUUGCACCUUAUCUUAGCGGCGGACGGGUGAGUAAUGCUUAGGAAUCUGCCUAUUAGUGGGGGACAACAUUCCGAAAGGAAUGCUAAUACCGCAUACGUCCUACGGGAGAAAGCAGGGGAUCUUCGGACCUUGCGCUAAUAGAUGAGCCUAAGUCGGAUUAGCUAGUUGGUGGGGUAAAGGCCUACCAAGGCGACGAUCUGUAGCGGGUCUGAGAGGAUGAUCCGCCACACUGGGACUGAGACACGGCCCAGACUCCUACGGGAGGCAGCAGUGGGGAGUAUUGGACAAUGGGGGGAACCCUGAUCCAGCCAUGCCGCAUGUGUGAAGAAGGCCUUAUGGUUGUAAAGCACUUUAAGCGAGGAGGAGGCUACUGAGACUAAUACUCUUGGAUAGUGGACGUUACUCGCAGAAUAAGCACCGGCUAACUCUGUGCCAGCAGCCGCCGUAA